AUUGAGUAUGUUGCUUUGGCUUUGAAAUUGCAUUUAUUAUAUACCAAAAUACUAUUUGGAUAUAUACAAACGAGAUACUAUGUCUUUUUCACAUUUUGAUCAUGAAAAUUCAAAAUCAAAUUGAGAGAAAGAGAGAGUAGAGACUAGACCAUAUAAUUCGAACUUGUAAUGGUAGUAAUGUGUUGACAAAAACAAAUAUAGAGAUGAUGAUAUUAUAACAUAUUAUCAUGGCAUGAGAACUGAAGAGGAAAAUUGUUUUGAUGACUAGUAUCCGCAAUAAUAUUCUAAAUGCUUUUUUCAAAGUUGGAAAUUGUUAAUAUUGGUGAAUAUGAAUUUGGACCGUUUGCCGCACGGCCAACAAUGAUGAAAGAUUGACCAAAAAGAUGACUACAUGAAUGGCUUUUGAUUGUUGAGAAUUAAGAUUGUUGACUUUGUAAAGUGAAUAAAAAUGAAAGAAUAUUAUAUAUUUAAUGAGUAAAUAACUUUUAAAUAUUGACUUAGAAAAAUAUGGAAUAUGGUCGGUGAGAUUUAUUAGGGUCUUAUUGAUGGAAUCGUGAAACCAAAAAAGAAGGUGCAAAUAGUAUGGAAGAUUCAUUUGACAUAAGAAAAGAUUGUCUUUGUCAUCUUAGACUUUGUUACCUUGAUUCAAGUAAACCAAACUUUCACUAUACAAACAUGUACACAUAUUUAGAUUAGUCAUGUGUGUCUAUGUUAGCUAAUAAUACCAUCAAUCCAUAACUAAAGGUACUCUACAAGUAUCCAAAUUCUCAAAUUUCAUUACCAUUUGAAUGUCUCAACCUUCAUCAUAAUUAAGGCAAUCUUCCUAAUCAAAUCAUCAGCAAGAUUUUUAACAAACAAUAGAAAUAAAAUACAACAGUUUGGAGUUUAGAAUUUUAAAAGAGAAAUUUUCAGAAUUUCUCCCUACAGCUUAUACGUGUACAAUUCAUGUUAUUUAUUAGAGUUGUUGUAAUGGAUGAAAACUAGUCUUCCACAAUGUGUUUCCUCUCGAGCUCAAUAAACUGUUUGCUGAGACGGGAGGUUUCAGUGGCGUUUCGAGUCUCGUUCUCUUGUCCUUUGCAACGCAGCAACUGCAUUUGAAGAGUUCGCACAAGCUCAUUUAGCCUCUGGAUAUGUCUUUCUUGCGA
This is a long non-coding RNA of Brassica rapa (field mustard), 1145 nucleotides long. RefSeq lists it as uncharacterized. NCBI's taxonomy places the organism in Eukaryota, Viridiplantae, Streptophyta, Magnoliopsida, Brassicales, Brassicaceae. The record is from RefSeq and is a predicted model, not a curated record.